UUGCUGCUUCGCUGACGAGUGGCGGACGGGUGAGUAAUGUCUGGGAAACUGCCUGAUGGAGGGGGAUAACUACUGGAAACGGUAGCUAAUACCGCAUAACGUCUCAUGACCAAAAAGGGGGACCUUCGGGCCUCUUGCCAUCGGAUGUGCCCAGAUGGGAUUAUCUAGUAGGUGGGGUAACGGCUCACCUAGGCGACGAUCCCUAUCUGGUCUGAAAGGAUGACCAGCCACACUGGAACUGAUACACGGUCCACACUCCUACGGGAGGCAGCAGUGGGGAAUAUUGCACUAUGGGCGCAAGCCUGAUGCAGCCUUGUCGCGUGUAUGAAAAAGGCCUUCGGGUUGUAAAGUACUUUCAGCGGGGAGGAAGGCGAUCAGGUUAAUAACCUUGUCCAUUGACGUUACCCGCAGAAGAAGCACCGGAUAACUCCGUGCCAGCA
Molecule: ribosomal RNA, 440 nt
Filed under: Enterobacter sp.
Lineage: Bacteria; Pseudomonadati; Pseudomonadota; Gammaproteobacteria; Enterobacterales; Enterobacteriaceae
Description: bacterial SSU rRNA
Rfam family: Bacterial small subunit ribosomal RNA
Source: RNAcentral